This 644-nucleotide ribosomal RNA is filed under the name uncultured marine eukaryote. RNAcentral's name for it is "SSU rRNA". It matches the Rfam family "Eukaryotic small subunit ribosomal RNA", at positions 613 to 1260 of the family's 1831-position model. The record is from RNAcentral.
UUGCGGUUAAAAAGCUCGUAGUUGGAUUUCUGUUGAGGAUGACCGGUCCGCUCUUUGAGCGCGUAUCUGGUUCAGCCUUGGCAUCCUCUUGGGGAACGCUACUGUGCUUGAUUGCAUGGGGCGGUAUUCAAGACUUUUACUUUGAGGAAAUUAGAGUGUUCACUGCAAGCGUUAGCAAUUGAAUACAUUAGCAUGGAAUAAUAAUAUAGGACCUUGGUACUAUUUUGUUGGUUUCUAGAACUAAGGUAAUGAUUAAUAGGGACAAUUGGGGGCAUUCGUAUUAACGCGUCAGAGGUGGAAUUCUUAGAUUGCGUUACGACGAACUACUGCGAAAGCAUUUGCCAAGGAUGUUUUCAUUGCUCAAGAACGAAAGUAUGGGGAUCGAAGACGCUUAGAUACCGUCGUAGUCUAUACCAUAAACUAUGCCAACUAGAGAUUGGAGGUCGUUCUCUUUAUGACUCCUUCAGCACCUUAUGAGAAAUCAAAGUCUUUGGGUUCCGGGGGGAGUAUGGUCGCAAGGCUGAAACUUAAAGGAAUUGACGGAAGGGCACCACCAGGAGUGGAGCCUGCGGCUUAAUUUGACUCAACACGGGAAAACUUACCAGGUCCAGACAUAGUAAGGAUUGACAGAUUGAUAGCUCUUU